This 478-nucleotide ribosomal RNA is filed under the name uncultured bacterium. RNAcentral's name for it is "partial 16S ribosomal RNA". It matches the Rfam family "Bacterial small subunit ribosomal RNA", at positions 28 to 523 of the family's 1533-position model. The record is from RNAcentral.
GACGAACGCUGGCGGCGUGCUUAACACAUGCAAGUCGAACGGUAAGGCCCUUCGGGGUACACGAGUGGCGAACGGGUGAGUAACACGUGGGUGAUCUGCCCUGCACUUCGGGAUAAGCCUGGGAAACUGGGUCUAAUACCGGAUAGGACCACUGCCUGCAUGGGUGGUGGUGGAAAGCUUUUGCGGUGUGGGAUGGGCCCCCGGCUUAGCAGCUUGGUGGUGGGGUGAUGGCCUACCAAGGCGACGACGGGUAGCCGGUCUGAGAGGGUGACCGGCCACACUGGGACUGAGAUACGGCCCAGACUCCUACGGGAGGCAGCAGUGGGGAAUAUUGCACAAUGGGCGCAAGCCUGAUGCAGCGACGCCGCGUGAGGGAUGACGGCCUUCGGGUUGUAAACCUCUUUCAGCACCGACGAAGCGCAAGUGACGGUAGGUGCAGAAGAAGGACCGGCCAACUACGUGCCAGCAGCCGCAGUAA